ACCUGUGUGGCCACACGCAGUGACCCUGAGCAAAGGAGUGACCACAGAAGUGCAUGGCAAAGCAGAAAGGUGUGACGUCUUGGAGGACGCGGGAGGAAAGCACGCCCAGCGGACAGGAGCCAUCACGCGGCUGCGGGCUGCUGCUGAGAACCUGGCGUGGGCCACCGUCGUCAGCAGCGUGGAGGUAACUGACGACCUUGGCCAAGAAGUUGGGUGGCAGCGUGGAGGUCAUGCUCAGAGACACUUGUUAUUGCAGUCAGAGUCCAUCUGGAUAAUCCUGGAUAAAUCUCAUCUGGAGAUCCUUCACCAGAUCACAUCGGCAAUGACCUGUUCCCCAAAUAAGGCCCUGUGCACAGGUUCUGGGGGACAUAUCUUGUAAUUGAAGACGUCUCACCAUAGCGGCCAGCCGUGCAACCACUGGGCCUGUCUGUGCCUGAACAACACACUGGCCUGCCUUUGCCUGAACAAGACAGCCUUAGUCUCAAAGCUUGCAGAUGGGUGUGGCCUGGUAGAAAAUUCUCAAGACAACGGCGGAGCACGCUUGCCCCUAGGAGACCAAGUGGCCGGAAUGUUGAGAAUCAGCCUUUCGCAGAAAUCCCCUAAGCGGGAGGCAGCAGGCUGACUCCAUCAGCCCCAGGCAGGCUUCUGGGCCCUGCAGCUAUGGC
RNAcentral lists this long non-coding RNA (665 nucleotides) under Homo sapiens (human). RNAcentral's name for it is "non-protein coding lnc-DFFB-50:5". Lineage: Eukaryota; Metazoa; Chordata; Mammalia; Primates; Hominidae. The record is from RNAcentral.